CAGGCCUAACACAUGCAAGUCGAACGGUCCUUCGGGAUAGUGGCGGACGGGUGAGUAACACGUGGGAACGUACCCUUAGGUUCGGAACAACACAGGGAAACUUGUGCUAAUACCGGAUGAGCCCUUCGGGGGAAAGAUUUAUCGCCUUUGGAGCGGCCCGCGUCUGAUUAGCUAGUUGGUGAGGUAAUGGCUCACCAAGGCGACGAUCAGUAGCUGGUCUGAGAGGAUGGCCAGCCACACUGGGACUGAGACACGGCCCAGACUCCUACGGGAGGCAGCAGUGGGGAAUCUUGCGCAAUGGGCGAAAGCCUGACGCAGCCAUGCCGCGUGGAUGAUGAAGGUCUUAGGAUUGUAAAAUCCUUUCACCGGGGACGAUAAUGACGGUACCCGGAGAAGAAGCCCCGGCUAACUUCGUGCCAGCAGCCGCGGUAAUACGAAGGGGGCUAGCGUUGCUCGGAAUUACUGGGCGUAAAGGGCGCGUAGGCAGACAGUUAAGUUGGGGGUGAAAGCCCGGGGCUCAACCUCGGAAUUGCCUUCAAUACUGGCUGUCUUGAGUACGGGAGAGGUGAGUGGAACUCCGAGUGUAGAGGUGAAAUUCGUAGAUAUUCGGAAGAACACCAGUGGCGAAGGCGACUCACUGGCCCGUUACUGACGCUGAGGCGCGAAAGCGUGGGGAGCAAGCAGGAUUAGAUACCCUGGUAGUCCACGCCGUAAACGAUGAGUGCUAGUUGUCGGCAUGCAUGCAUGUCG
This 750-nucleotide ribosomal RNA is filed under the name uncultured bacterium. RNAcentral's name for it is "bacterial SSU rRNA". It matches the Rfam family "Bacterial small subunit ribosomal RNA", at positions 43 to 842 of the family's 1533-position model. The record is from RNAcentral.